AACGAACGCUGGCGGCAGGCCUAACACAUGCAAGUCGAACGCCGUAGCAAUACGGAGUGGCAGACGGGUGAGUAACACGUGGGAACGUACCCUUCGGUUCGGAAUAACUCAGGGAAACUUGAGCUAAUACCGGAUACGUCCGAGAGGAGAGAGAUUUAUCGCCGAGGGAUCGGCCCGCGUCUGAUUAGCUUGUUGGUGAGGUAACGGCUCACCAAGGCGACGAUCAGUAGCUGGCUGAGAGGAUGAUCAGCCACAUUGGGAAACUGAGACACGG
Molecule: ribosomal RNA, 274 nt
Filed under: uncultured bacterium
Lineage: Bacteria
Description: partial 16S ribosomal RNA
Rfam family: Bacterial small subunit ribosomal RNA
Source: RNAcentral